RNAcentral lists this long non-coding RNA (1838 nucleotides) under Venturia canescens. RNAcentral's name for it is "uncharacterized LOC122410846". The record is from RNAcentral. Lineage: Eukaryota; Metazoa; Arthropoda; Insecta; Hymenoptera; Ichneumonidae.
AAACCGGCUGCAAUUAAUUAAACAAAAACGAGUGUCAUUCAAAGAAACAGAGAAGACAUUUCAGAGAGCAUUAAAAUAUGGUGUUGGGAGAAUUAUCGUAUACCAAUGAAAACAUUAAAAAUAUUCGUGGCUUUGUCUGUUACUGGGAACUAAUAAACAUUGGCGUAUUUUUCUAUCUCAGUGUUCUAGAGCUUUUGUUAAAACGACAAGAAAACGAUGCAGUAUUGAGAUCAAAUUAUGGAUAUGCUCCGUGAUCUCAUUAUUUUAAAUUAAUAUUUAAGCAAUUAUUGAAGUUAGGAAUUUUUGAUUUAGUAAUCCCAAGAGAUUUUUGGUUAAGGAAAAUUACGUAUUAAAUAGUCUUUGAGAAUGAACAACAAGUUACUUCCAACUAACUCGUAACAAACAAAAGUUUCGAGAAAAAAAAAUUGACGUUUCUCUAGUCAUAACAUGGGAAAUAAAGCGAUUGACUAACUUGAUUUCUACGAUGAAAUUUUAAGGAUCGUGUGUCUGACACAUCGAUUGUUUUCACCGUUAAUUUGCGUUGCGCGUUUCUUUCGUACCUAUUGUUCUAUUUUUCUUGGCACUCGACAAUCGGAAUUCAAGUACAUGAACCUUAAGCUAAAAAUAGCUUUCCUCGUGCCAGAGCGCGUUGAAAAGUUUCGUCAUUCCUUUUGGAUGUCUCAAAGCCACUUGCAUUUUGCCCUCUUUGAACAAAGACUUUAUAUUUGUCACUGGUGUAAUUUUCUUUCCUUUUGUUCCACCAUUUAGCUCGUUCAUUCGGUCUCUUUCUAUUCACCCGAGAUCAAACUUUCGCGAAACUCGCUCGGGAGUGGUGAGAGGAUCGUCACUCACCAAAGAGGAGAAGAGAGGCAUAUCUUUGUGAGCGAAUGAUAAAAUAAAAUUGAAAAAAGAACCACAAACUUAUACUAUUUUUGAACUCACGGGCCACUCGGAAUACCGCUAUUUCGCCAGACGUACUGUGGGGGGCACCAAAAUGAACUCCAGACACAAGGAGCAGCGUGUCAGACGAAUUAAAUUGCGAAAACUGCGUGUAUUUCCAGCUGAACGCCUUCAUAUCGUGGUGAUACUUUAUCGAAACCGGAUAUUGACUGUCCCACACCUGCGUCGAGAUAUUUUAUUCAAUAGUUAAUAUUAUUGUCAUAAACAAUUUUUGAAAUAGCAAAUAGCGAUGAUAGAUAUUAGUUUUACCAAAAUAUAACCAUCCUUUGAGCACGUGGCAAACAUUUUUCCAUUGUGGGAAAAACUGACGUGCAAUACUUGAUGACAAUGCUCUUUUUGAACUUCCGUCUCUAGUAGCGGAGUGUGAUAAGUCAAUCUUUUGAAUUCGCUCAGCCAAGAUGUUUUUCCUGGAAUUAUAAAGUCAACAAUUUAUUCAUUAUUUUCAACAUUGUCAUUGAGUUUUGUUCAGUUUUAAUCUAUGUGGAAUUUUAUUUCAUUCUUCGAAUGAAAAUAUUUUUCUAUAGCUACCAACAUAAGUUAAUGGAUGAACGAGUUCGAUAGUGAAAAAAAAAAUCAUUGUCUAUUCUAGUUCCUCAAAGUGGCAAUAACAUCAAAAUAGCAAAUUUUCAAUUAUUGGCAGACAGGGAAUCGAAAGUAAAUUACUUCAACAUAAAAUGACUAAACAAAACUCUAUUAUUUGAUAUUUCACUUCAAAUUGUGUUUUUAUAUAAAAAAUUUGACUAAGCGGAAUACUUUUGCACUUUUCUUAAUUGACAAAUCCUAUACAAAUCAGAAUUUGUACUGUUCAGAAAUGAGUACAAGAGUUUCUUGAAAAUUGAAUGUUAUUAAAAUAAAAUACUCAACAUCGGUACAAGAAA